Molecule: ribosomal RNA, 253 nt
Filed under: uncultured bacterium
Lineage: Bacteria
Description: partial 16S ribosomal RNA
Rfam family: Bacterial small subunit ribosomal RNA
Source: RNAcentral
UACGGGGGGGGCAAGCGUUGUUCGGAAUUACUGGGCGUAAAGGGCUCGUAGGUGGCCAACUAAGUCAGACGUGAAAUCCCUCGGCUUAACCGGGGAACUGCGUCUGAUACUGGAUGGCUUGAGUUCGGGAGAGGGAUGCGGAAUUCCAGGUGUAGCGGUGAAAUGCGUAGAUAUCUGGAGGAACACCGGUGGCGAAGGCGGCAUCCUGGACCGACACUGACACUGAGGAGCGAAAGCCAGGGGAGCGAUCCGG